CCUACGGGAGGCAGCAGUGAGGAAUAUUGGUCAAUGGACGAGAGUCUGAACCAGCCAAGUAGCGUGAAGGAUGACUGCCCUAUGGGUUGUAAACUUCUUUUAUAUGGGAAUAAAACGUUCCACGUGUGGGAUUUUGUAUGUACCAUAUGAAUAAGGAUCGGCUAACUCCGUGCCAGCAGCCGCGGUAAUACGGAGGAUCCGAGCGUUAUCCGGAUUUAUUGGGUUUAAAGGGAGCGUAGGUGGAUUGUUAAGUCAGUUGUGAAAGUUUGCGGCUCAACCGUAAAAUUGCAGUUGAAACUGGCAGUCUUGAGUACAGUAGAGGUGUGCGGAAUUCGUGGUGUAGCGGUGAAAUGCUUAGAUAUCACGAAGAACUCCGAUUGCGAAGGCAGUUCACUGGACUGCAACUGACACUGAGGCUCGAAAGUGUGGGUAUCAAACAGGAUUAGUUACCCCUGUAGUC
This 460-nucleotide ribosomal RNA is filed under the name uncultured bacterium. RNAcentral describes it as "partial 16S ribosomal RNA". It matches the Rfam family "Bacterial small subunit ribosomal RNA", at positions 338 to 795 of the family's 1533-position model. The record is from RNAcentral.